This is a long non-coding RNA of Callithrix jacchus (white-tufted-ear marmoset), 1059 nucleotides long. RefSeq lists it as uncharacterized. The record is from RefSeq and is a predicted model, not a curated record. Lineage: Eukaryota; Metazoa; Chordata; Mammalia; Primates; Cebidae.
GUGACUGAAUGAGAGAAAAGUGCCCUAGAAGCUAUUCAUUACGAAUUCACUGGAAGCUCUCAAACGAGGCUGGCAGAAGCUGAAAUUGAAGUGGUCUCUGACCUAAUUUUCUUCUGCAUGAAACAUCUGCAUCAAGGCUCUCUUUGAUGUAUUCCACUUGGCUCUGUCUAUAGGAUUGUAUCACAUGGACUCGGUGUUGCCUCCUUAUUGAAAGACAUUUCCAGCCUUUGCAAGAUUCAUCUCACUGCUAAUUCAUAUUCAGCUUCUUCCCCAACAUAAUUUCUAAGGCAGAAGUUUGAAAGCUGGUACCAAUCCAUGGCCUGUUGAGAACUAGGCCUCACAACAGGAGUUUGCAGCAUCACUGAAAACGAUGCACUCUCCUGCCAAGUCCCAUCUUUGGGAAGGAGGAAAUUGAUUAGAUCCAGGAGGUUUUCAUAAAUGCAGCAAGUGACUUUCUCAGCAUCAUCUGAAACAUUUGGUCCCAAUUCUUGGGAAAGGCCUAAGAAUUGCUCUGGCUUGGUGACAUGUCCACAUCCUCAAUCCAACAUCUGAUAUCGUGGAGAAGAAGUACACUGAUUGGAAGAUCCUAUUAUUAUUGCGAAGUUUGAGGAAGAGAAGGAGCAAUUGCCUCUAUAAAGGGAUGCUACUCCUAGAAAAAUGAUGGGUGCAGAGAAGGUCAAACGAUCAGUGCCUACUGAACUGUCUCAAAGGUCCAGCAGGAGCAGUGGUGACUUCAGUUUUCCUGAAGGAGGUUAAACUGAGAGCUGGAGUGUAAGUACUGCCCAGGAAGCAAAAGGAGACUCAAGGAAACAAAGCAACUAAUCCUGAGUGGUUUGGCCGUUGAGAAGAUUGAGGCAAGGAAGUCGGUGGUCAAAAAUACCCUCAUAGCCGUGAGAAAGUCCAUCUUGAUGUUAUCCAGUGAAACUUAAUGACAGCAAAGGAGCCAGGCAACCUGCUUAAUUUUGGAAAUGAAACUGUCAGGAGAGUUGAUGAGAAUUUGAAAAGAUACAACAAAGUAGAAUGCUAACACCAAUUCCAAACAAUUAUAAAGAAUCAUAA